RNAcentral lists this ribosomal RNA (662 nucleotides) under uncultured organism. RNAcentral's name for it is "bacterial SSU rRNA". It matches the Rfam family "Bacterial small subunit ribosomal RNA", at positions 1 to 663 of the family's 1533-position model. The record is from RNAcentral.
GGCUUAGAGUUUGAUCAUGGCUCAGGAUGAACGCUGGCGGCGUGCCUAACACAUGCAAGUCGAGCGAAGCACUUUGCUUGGAUUCUUUCGGGAUGACGAGUGAUUUGACUGAGCGGCGGACGGGUGAGUGACGCGUGGGUAACCUGCCUCACACAGGGGGAUAACAGUUAGAAAUGACUGCUAAUACCGCAUAAGACCCCAGCACCGCAUGGUGCAGUGGUAAAAACUCCGGUGGUGUGAGAUGGACCCGCGUCUGAUUAGCUAGUUGGUAAGGUAACGGCUUACCAAGGCGACGAUCAGUAGCCGGCCUGAGAGGGUGGACGGCCACAUUGGGACUGAGACACGGCCCAAACUCCUACGGGAGGCAGCAGUGGGGAAUAUUGCACAAUGGGGGAAACCCUGAUGCAGCGACGCCGCGUGAGCGAAGAAGUAUUUCGGUAUGUAAAGCUCUAUCAGCAGGGAAGAAACUGACGGUACCUGACUAAGAAGCACCGGCUAAAUACGUGCCAGCAGCCGCGGUAAUACGUAUGGUGCAAGCGUUAUCCGGAUUUACUGGGUGUAAAGGGAGCGUAGACGGAUAGGCAAGUCUGGAGUGAAAACCCGGGGCUCAACCCCGGGACUGCUUUGGAAACUGUUUAUCUAGAGUGCUGGAGAGGUAAGUG